GACGAACGCUGGCGGCGUGCUUAACACAUGCAAGUCGAACGGAAAGGCCCUGCUUGCAGGGUACUCGAGUGGCGAACGGGUGAGUAACACGUGGGUGAUCUGCCCUGCACUUCGGGAUAAGCCUGGGAAACUGGGUCUAAUACCGGAGAGGAGCCAUUUUUAGUGUGAUGGUUGGAAAGUUUUUUCGGUGUAGGAUGAGCUCGCGGCCUAUCAGCUUGUUGGUGGGGUAAUGGCCUACCAAGGCGGCGACGGGUAGCCGGCCUGAGAGGGUGGACGGCCAAAUUGGGACUGAGAUACGGCCCAGACUCCUACGGGGGGCAGCAGUGGGGAAUAUUGCACAAUUGGCGCAAGCCUGAUGCAGCGACGCCGCGUGGGGGAUGACGGCCUUCGGGUUGUAAACUCCUUUCGCUAGGGACGAAGCUUUUUGUGACGGUACCUAGAUAAGAAGCACCGGCUAACUACGUG
RNAcentral lists this ribosomal RNA (465 nucleotides) under uncultured bacterium. RNAcentral describes it as "partial 16S ribosomal RNA". It matches the Rfam family "Bacterial small subunit ribosomal RNA", at positions 28 to 507 of the family's 1533-position model. The record is from RNAcentral.